UUAAAAUAUGUUACUAAUUAGUAAUAUAAAAAUGGCUUCACCACGCGGGUGUGUAUUGUAUGAGGAAUCAAAUAAAAAGAUGAGAGCACUGCUUCAACUUCAGGCUUUGACUACUCGCCUCUCACAUUCAUCUUCCUCCUCCAUCUUCUUUCGCGCCAAAACCUUGUGGUUGAAUCCAAACAGAGCGUGCACUCAGAACUCCCAAGUGAGAAGGAUAUGGUUUUCCGCUCCAGUUUGUAUGGGUCGCCGUUCCUGCAAAAUUGCUGGGAGAAAGGAAGCCCAAGAUGCGAAGAAGACAAAACUAUACUCAAGGAUUGGAAAGGAGGUUGUGUCUGCGGUAAAAAGAGGUGGUCCAAAUGUAACAUCUAAUUCAGUUUUGGCUGCUGUACUUGAGAAAGCUAAGGAGCUUGAUGUGCCUAAAGAUAUUGUUGAGCGCAAUAUCAAGAGAGCUUCUGAGAAAGGACAGGAGGCUUAUAUUGAGAAAGUCUAUGAGGUUUAUGGUUAUGGAGGAGUUAGUAUUGUAGUUGAGGUAUCGACUGAUAAGAUACAUCGUUCUGUGGCAAAGAUACGAGAAGUGAUAAGGGACUAUGGAGGAAAGAUGGCAGAUUCUGGGUCUGUGACAUUUAAGUUUAGACGUGUUAGGGUAGUAAAUAUUAAAGCUACUAAUGCUGACAAAGAUCAGCUGCUUUCCAUUGCUUUGGAUGCUGGAGCUGAGGAUGUAAUUGAACCUCCAACUUAUGAAGAUGACACUGAAGAGGAUAGCUCAGAAAGGUAUUAUAAAAUUGUUGGUUCUUCAGAGAACUAUUCAUCUAUAUUAUCUAAGCUGCGAGAAGAGGGCAUAGAUUUUGAGCCUGAUAAUGGUUCCGAGCUUCUUCCAAAUACCACGGUUGAGGAUUGCUGGGGUACAUUCUUGAGUUGAAAAUUAUUAGCUAAAAGGUUGCCAAAGUUUCAUGCGGUGAGAAUUUCAGAGCUUAAUUGGCGUGUGUUUAGCUACUAAUGAACUAUGCAAUUAGGGGGAGUAGACGAUGAGGCUAUGGACUUGAACAAGCAACUUAUGAGCAAAUUACUUGAGCUUGAUGAUGUUGAUGCUGUUUAUACCGAUCAAAAAUAAUAAUUUUUAUGUUUAAAAGCUGUUCAUCAGACAACUCAAGGUUCUCUUGGACACUGGAAGCUCCCAUCACAAAAAUGUACCUCUGGUUUAUUUACAAAAUGAAAAUAGGUUCCAAAAGUUAUUGGGGAUUCCUCAGGUGAAUAAUUUGUUGAUCUGACUGUUUAGUCCGAUUCCUUUUUUUUUUUGAGAGGACGGCCAGAUGCUUGCUUUCUGGAGGGGAUUUCAUUUUGAAAUUAUUUGAUUCAAACGCGAGGAUGUUUAAAUCAUGUACUGUCUUAUAUUAUAAACUGACAAAGUUUAAUAAUAAUAAAACAAGGUAAAUCUA
This is an RNA transcript of Vigna angularis (adzuki bean), 1436 nucleotides long. It is a transcript of the gene named probable transcriptional regulatory protein At2g25830, with no coding region annotated. The record is from RefSeq and is a predicted model, not a curated record. The transcript is spliced from 7 exons. NCBI's taxonomy places the organism in Eukaryota, Viridiplantae, Streptophyta, Magnoliopsida, Fabales, Fabaceae.